GAAUUAAAGAAUCAUUUGAACAACGGACUGUCCCUAGCACAAGUGGCAAAAGGAUUUGAUAGUUAGUAUCUGAGACCCAUGAUCGAAUCCUAAAUAAUUCACAUUUUCUACUAAAUUUAUUUCUAAAUAAAAUAAACGAAACAUGUAGUAUAUUAUUUUUCUCUCAAAAAAAAAAAAUCAUUUGAACGGUACAUCCAAUUUACAU
Molecule: long non-coding RNA, 205 nt
Filed under: Ananas comosus (pineapple)
Lineage: Eukaryota; Viridiplantae; Streptophyta; Magnoliopsida; Poales; Bromeliaceae
Description: long non-coding RNA (ACOM_LNC002677)
Source: RNAcentral